AUUUAUAUAAUAUAUUUAGUAUAUUUGACUUCCAUCAAAAAGUUUAAUAAAAUUAAUAUAAAUA
Molecule: transfer RNA, 64 nt
Filed under: Callerebia suroia
Lineage: Eukaryota; Metazoa; Arthropoda; Insecta; Lepidoptera; Nymphalidae
Description: tRNA-Gly
Source: RNAcentral